AACGAACGCUGGCGGCAGGCCUAACACAUGCAAGUCGAACGCUCGUAGCAAUACGAGAGUGGCAGACGGGUGAGUAACACGUGGGAACCUUCCCUAUGGUUCGGAAUAGCUCAGGGAAACUUGAGGUAAUACCGGAUAAGCCCUUACGGGGAAAGAUUUAUCGCCAUUGGAUGGGCCCGCGUCGGAUUAGCUAGUUGGUGAGGUAACGGCUCACCAAGGCGACGAUCCGUAGCUGGUCUGAGAGGAUGAUCAGCCACACGUGGGACUGAGACGACCGGCCCAGACCUCCGUACGGGAGGCUCG
This 303-nucleotide ribosomal RNA is filed under the name uncultured Pseudomonadota bacterium. Its description in RNAcentral is "bacterial SSU rRNA". It matches the Rfam family "Bacterial small subunit ribosomal RNA", at positions 29 to 351 of the family's 1533-position model. Lineage: Bacteria; Pseudomonadati; Pseudomonadota. The record is from RNAcentral.